UACAGGGGAUGCAAGUGUUAUCCGGAAUUAUUGGGCGUAAAGCGUCUGCAGGUUGGCAAAUAAGUCUUUUGUUAAAUUUCGAGGCUCAACUUCGAAUCUGCAAAAGAAACUAUUUGUCUUGAGUAUGGUAGAGGUAAGGGGAAUUUCCAGUGGAGCGGUGAAAUGCGUAGAUAUUGGAAAGAACACCAACAGCGAAGGCACCUUACUGGGCCAGUACUGACACUCAGAGACGAAAGCUAGGGGAGCAAACGGG
Molecule: ribosomal RNA, 253 nt
Filed under: uncultured bacterium
Lineage: Bacteria
Also listed under: 1 other name
Description: partial 16S ribosomal RNA
Rfam family: Bacterial small subunit ribosomal RNA
Source: RNAcentral